RNAcentral lists this non-coding RNA (25 nucleotides) under Rattus norvegicus (Norway rat). Lineage: Eukaryota; Metazoa; Chordata; Mammalia; Rodentia; Muridae. The record is from RNAcentral.
AGUAAUAAACAAGGGUACAGAUGGU